RNAcentral lists this long non-coding RNA (3045 nucleotides) under Capra hircus (goat). RNAcentral's name for it is "lncRNA (ENSCHIG00010012325.1)". Lineage: Eukaryota; Metazoa; Chordata; Mammalia; Artiodactyla; Bovidae. The record is from RNAcentral.
UUCACCAUCUCCCGGAGCUUGCUCAAACUCAUGUCCAUUGAGUCUGUGAUAUAUACCUCAGUAAAGCUGAAUUAAAAUGUAAGACAGUGCAGGGACUUGACUGGUGGCCCAGCGGUAAAGAAUCCACCCACCAAUGCAGGGGACGGGGGUUCAAUCCCUGGUCCGGGAACCCAUACGUCGCAACAAAGGCUCAACGUAGCCAAAAAUGAUAAAUUUUAAAAAUAAGACAGUGAAAAGCACAAGUCACUUUCAUUUUCUCCCUUGGGCUUUUUUAUAUUUUCCGAGGUGUCCUUAAUUGAAAGCAAAAACAGAAAUGGCCAGCAGUUGGAAGAAGAUUGAUUUCUGCAAGGUGGGAGACCUCUUCCUGACAUUCUUCGGCCUUUGCCGGUCUCCCAAGACACAGCUGAGGGUAAGGGGACUCCUCCCUCCUGUGUGUGGCCUUGCGGAAGUCACCCCACGUCUCCAAGCCUCUGUUCCCUCGCCAGUGGACAGACCCAACGCCUGCCGUGCCUUUGUCACCAAACCGUGGGAGCAGACAUGUCAGGGCUCUGAGAGCUGAUGGCCCAGCACACACGACGGGUCAGUGCUGAGACCAAACCUCCUUCGCUGUAAUCUCUCUGCACAUCCCAUCUUUAAAAUUACCAAAUAUUUCAAACAUACAGAAAAUGGAGGAAAAAAGUUUUAGACCUGAGAAGAAGGAUCAAUGCAAAGAACUACAGACAAGCCACCCAACUUUGCCAAGUCUUGACACCUUGCCAUAUAUGCUUCAGAUUUCUUUUUCCCUGAAAAAUAGAACAGUACAGAUUAAACCCUCUGUGUUCCUCUUUCUGAUCUCAUUCCCAUCCCUCCCUACCCAGGGGUAACUGCUGUUCUAAAUUUAGUAUCUGAUUUCCUAUGCAUGUUUUAACAUUUACUAUCUGACUGUAUCCCUAAAAAUACAUAUGUAGCAUAGUUUUAAAUUUUAAAAAAAACCUUUUUAAUAUUGUACUAUUUUACCACUUUUCUAGACGGUACCUAUGUUGAAGCUAUAGCCUGAGUUUCUUUUCCCUCCCAGUAUAUUAUUCCAUCGCACAAAGAGAUAACAGUCUAUCUAUCUGUCGAUGGACAAUUCAUCAACUCCUCAGUUUUUACAACUACAUGCUGAGUAAGGGGAGGGAAGCCACUAAACGGUAGAUAAGAGCAUCUUCAACUUUAUUAGAAUUUUCCAAACUUCUUCUCCAGAGAAGCUGUACCCGUUCGCAUCUCCACCAAGAUGGUACAGGGUUCCCAGGGUGCCGCAUCCUCACUCCCUUCAUCCCUUUCCCCGUGCUGAGGGACUGCUGGCUGCUUGCCAGUUUCGUGGACGCAAAAUGGUGUCUCCCAGCUCUUAGCAUCUGCAUGUCUCCCAUGGCCAGUGAAGCGCAACAUCUGUUCAUAUUUUUGGCCACCUCGGUUUCCUCUUCUGUGAACUGCCUGUGUUAACUCGUUUUUUAAAAGUGAUUAUUUGUGUUUCUUUCGUUUGUCCAUACUUUCAACCUACUUCUGCCAGAUCCUCCCAACGCAGACUCAGUUCACGGCCCUUCUCUGUUCUAAACUCCCUGCGGCUCUCUCUAGAACGUGCACAACUCUAGAAUAUGCCACAGGGCCUUGCUCAGUGGCCCUGAUUCGCCUGAGGGCUAAAAACCAAACUCAGCCCAGGACACUCAGCUCCUCCUCCUCCAGGCUUGACCCGCGCACCCUGAACUCCAACCCAAAGGACACCCAACUCGCUUAGCCCCAGGCCUCCAGCACGCACCACGCCCCCAGCCUGGAAUGCCUCCCUCCUAUCCCCACAUUCCAUCUGAAUGCCACCUUUUCUGCAACCCUUCUCCCUUCUCAACUCAAAGCUGUGCCUCUGACUCACAGCUGAAACUAUACCUUUCUAGUGGCAUUUAUUAUUUCUCCUUUUGUCGUGUUUAAGCAGCUCUGCAUUUUGCCCACUACUUUUUCAUUUACAAAAGCACAGCUCCUUAUUGUGCUGUUUCGGCUUCACCUCUGCAGCGGUCCUGUGGGACAGGGUAGUCGUUUACCCUCUUUGAACAGACAGGGAAGGUGGUUUACCAGGGCACUAGUUCACCCAGCAUCUCCCUUCGGCUCAGAGAUGGAGCUGGACUUGAAGCCAGGACUCCUCCGAUUCCACGUCCAGCUCUACGCACCAUGCCCCUCCUGUUUAUACCCGUGCUGUUGCUGCCUGGGCCAACCCCUGGUUCCCCCUUGAGACCGUGAGUCCCGCUGCCCCCAGUUCUAGUCUCACUGCUGCGGGAGGGUGGGGGGCACUCGGUGACUACAUGAUUUCUUGACAAAGUUACAAUUAUCACUUAUUGCACACCCACUGGCUGCUGAGGGCUUUGCAUACAUUAACCCCAACCUUCCCAACAACUCUAGAGGAGGAGAUUGAAGUUUGAGUUGAAAUGCUUUGCUCAGGGUCCCACGCCCCGGGGAGCUGGCCUAUGAGGCGAGCGCUGCCGACUGCAAUCUCUGCCUUACGCAUAACAAGGGUAGACCCAGCCAGCCAGAGAGACAGUACCCCAAGGCCCACUCCCCAGAGAGUGAGGCCGGACGCGGACAUUUCUGCCCAUCCUCCCCAGGGCCAGGGCCGAUCAUGACUGGGCCCCCAGCCUCAAUCCGCUAUUCCUCUGACUCUGUAUGCUUUCACCGGGCGCCACUUAUUUAAAUGUUGUGUUUGUGUGUGCGUGUGUCGGGGGUGUUUCCAACUGUAUCUCUGUGUUGUGUUUCUCCGCUUGGGUUUGUGCGCGAUCUGUCGUUGGUGUGCUCUUCCUCUGGGUGUGUUACUGUGUUGUGGCUCUGUGCCUGUCUGCUUUAUACGCCUGUUUUGCUGUGUGUCUGCGCUGUGUACACUCUCGCGUAUCUGUGUCUGGACUCUAAUGUGUGCUGUGUCGUGUAGAUCCUGAGUACUCAGCUUGCGUUUGUGCCGUGCGCCGUGUCUCUACGCAGGCCGUCUCCGCUGCAAGCGCAGGACGUGUGUGUGUUUCUGUUGUGCUAAUCCCGUUUGGGUUGCUCCAGGUC